RNAcentral lists this ribosomal RNA (503 nucleotides) under uncultured bacterium. RNAcentral describes it as "partial 16S ribosomal RNA". It matches the Rfam family "Bacterial small subunit ribosomal RNA", at positions 30 to 523 of the family's 1533-position model. The record is from RNAcentral.
AUUGAACGCUGGCGGCAGGCUUAACACAUGCAAGUCGAGCGGGGUGAUGGUGCUUGCACUAUCACUUAGCGGCGGACGGGUGAGUAAUGCUUAGGAAUCUGCCUAUUAGUGGGGGACAACAUCUCGAAAGGGAUGCUAAUACCGCAUACGUCCUACGGGAGAAAGCAGGGGAUCACUUGUGACCUUGCGCUAAUAGAUGAGCCUAAGUCGGAUUAGCUAGUUGGUGGGGUAAAGGCCUACCAAGGCGACGAUCUGUAGCGGGUCUGAGAGGAUCAUCAGCCACACGGGAACGGAGACACCGCCCAGUCUCCUACGGGAGGCAGCAGUGGGGAAUAUUGGACAAUGGGGGGAACCCUGAUCCAGCCAUGCCGCGUGUGUGAAGAAGGCCUUAUGGUUGUAAAGCACUUUAAGCGAGGAGGAGGCUCUUUUGGUUAAUACCCAAGAUGAGUGGACGUUACUCACAGAAUAAGCACCGGCUAACUCUGUGCCAGCCGCCGCCGUAA